RNAcentral lists this ribosomal RNA (253 nucleotides) under uncultured bacterium. Its description in RNAcentral is "partial 16S ribosomal RNA". It matches the Rfam family "Bacterial small subunit ribosomal RNA", at positions 524 to 776 of the family's 1533-position model. The record is from RNAcentral.
UACAGAGGUCUCAAGCGUUGUUCGGAUUCAUUGGGCGUAAAGGGUGCGUAGGCGGCGCGGUAAGUCGGGUGUGAAAUCUUGGAGCUUAACUCCGAAACUGCAUUCGAUACUGCCGUGCUUGAGGACUGGAGAGGAGACUGGAAUUUACGGUGUAGUGGUGGAAUGCGUAGAUAUCGGGAGGAACACCAGUGGCGAAGGCGGUUGCCUGGAGCUUUGCUGACGCUGAGGCGCGAAAGCGUGGGGAGCGAUCCGG